Molecule: ribosomal RNA, 964 nt
Filed under: Aquitalea sp. M060824-4
Lineage: Bacteria; Pseudomonadati; Pseudomonadota; Betaproteobacteria; Neisseriales; Chromobacteriaceae
Description: bacterial SSU rRNA
Rfam family: Bacterial small subunit ribosomal RNA
Source: RNAcentral
AGUCGAACGGUAACAGGGAGCUUGCUCCGCUGACGAGUGGCGAACGGGUGAGUAAUGCGUCGGAACGUGCCGAGUAGUGGGGGAUAACUAUCCGAAAGGAUAGCUAAUACCGCAUACGCUUCGAGAAGGAAAGCAGGGGAUCGCAAGACCUUGCGCUAUUCGAGCGGCCGACGUCUGAUUAGCUAGUUGGUGAGGUAAAGGCUCACCAAGGCAUCGAUCAGUAGCGGGUCUGAGAGGAUGAUCCGCCACACUGGGACUGAGACACGGCCCAGACUCCUACGGGAGGCAGCAGUGGGGAAUUUUGGACAAUGGGCGCAAGCCUGAUCCAGCCAUGCCGCGUGUCUGAAGAAGGCCUUCGGGUUGUAAAGGACUUUUGUCAGGGAGGAAAUCCCUAGCGCUAAUAUCGCUGGGGGAUGACAGUACCUGAAGAAUAAGCACCGGCUAACUACGUGCCAGCAGCCGCGGUAAUACGUAGGGUGCAAGCGUUAAUCGGAAUUACUGGGCGUAAAGCGUGCGCAGGCGGUUGUGUAAGUCUGAUGUGAAAGCCCCGGGCUUAACCUGGGAACUGCAUUGGAGACUGCACAGCUAGAGUGCGUCAGAGGGGGGUAGAAUUCCGCGUGUAGCAGUGAAAUGCGUAGAGAUGCGGAGGAAUACCGAUGGCGAAGGCAGCCCCCUGGGAUGACACUGACGCUCAUGCACGAAAGCGUGGGGAGCAAACAGGAUUAGAUACCCUGGUAGUCCACGCCCUAAACGAUGUCAACUAGCUGUUGGGGGUUUGAAUCCUUGGUAGCGUAGCUAACGCGAGAAGUUGACCGCCUGGGGAGUACGGCCGCAAGGUUAAACUCAAAGGAAUUGACGGGGACCCGCACAGCGGUGGAUGAUGUGAUUAAUUCGAUGCACCGCGAAAACCUUACCUGGGUCUUGACAUGUACAGAACUUUCCAGAGAUGGAUUGUGGCCCGAAA